AUGGGUGCGGUUGGCCGCUGUGGUCCCGUCGGUGCCCUCGGCCGGGCUGGAGACGGCCCAAGCAGGUCGGCCCCCUCGCCGCCCCUCCCCUGCUCUGCCUCUGCUUCACGCGAGGAACAGGGCGAGGGGGAGGAAGGGGACGAGCACCCAUGCCCUCCUCCCCCUGCGCCUGGGACCGACGCGCCGGUGCCCCAGCACCUUGCCAUGUGGAUAAGUGGAGAAGGCGUAAUCUGCCCGAAGGCGCUUUCAGUUUUUCCUCCAAGGACCUGUUUGUUGAAGUUUUAUUCACAGAUUGGUCCCUGGUGUUCAACACCUCAUAACUCCGCAACCGUAACUCUGAUUGAGGUGAAUCCAACGCCCACUUCUUCGUCUCGUCAAACCCGUUCUUUCAUAACCAUUUUCACUAUGUUUCAACAUUCUAGAAAUGACCAUUUUGCCCUUGCCCCUAAUCAGCCCCCUCCGAGAGAGAACCCAUUUCGGCGAUUCUUUCCGCGGCUUCACCGCACUUCUCCCCGGAGCCUCCUUCAUCCCCAGGAAAGACACAACCACCAUUUGCAUGAUAGCCAUGCAGAAGCAUGGGUUUUCAACUUGAAUCUUUAA
RNAcentral lists this ribosomal RNA (600 nucleotides) under Triticum aestivum (bread wheat). Its description in RNAcentral is "partial small subunit ribosomal RNA". Lineage: Eukaryota; Viridiplantae; Streptophyta; Magnoliopsida; Poales; Poaceae. The record is from RNAcentral.